UUGCCCUAGUAACGGCGAGUGAAGCGGCAACAGCUCAAAUUUGAAAUCUGGCGUCUUUGGCGUCCGAGUUGUAAUUUGCAGAGGGCGCUUUGGCAUUGGCAGCGGUCCAAGUUCCUUGGAACAGGACGUCACAGAGGGUGAGAAUCCCGUACGUGGUCGCUAGCCUUUACCGUGUAAAGCCCCUUCGACGAGUCGAGUUGUUUGGGAAUGCAGCUCUAAAUGGGAGGUAAAUUUCUUCUAAAGCUAAAUACUGGCCAGAGACCGAUAGCGCACAAGUAGAGUGAUCGAAAGAUGAAAAGCACUUUGGAAAGAGAGUUAAAAAGCACGUGAAAUUGUUGAAAGGGAAGCGCUUGCAGCCAGACUUGCCUGUAGUUGCUCAUCCGGGUUUUUACCCGGUGCACUCUUCUAUAGGCAGGCCAGCAUCAGUUUGGGCGGUUGGAUAAAGGUCUCUGUCAUGUACCUCUCUUCGGGGAGAACUUAUAGGGGAGACGACAUGCAACCAGCCUGGACUGAGGUCCGCGCAUCUGCUAGGAUGCUGGCGUAAUGGCUGUAAGCGGCCCGUCUUGAAACACGGACCAAGGAGUCUAACAUCUAUGCGAGUGUUUGGGUGUCAAGCCCGAGCGCGUAAUGAAAGUGAACGGAGGUGGGAACCCCUCGGGGUGCACCAUCGACCGAUCCUGAUGUCUUCGGAUGGAUUUGAGUAAGAGCAUAGCUGUUGGGACCCGAAAGAUGGUGAACUAUGCUUGAAUAGGGUGAAGCCAGAGGAAACUCUGGUGGAGGCUCGCAGCGGUUCUGACGUGCAAAUCGAUCGUCAAAUUUGGGCAUAGGGGCGAAAGACUAA
RNAcentral lists this ribosomal RNA (841 nucleotides) under Juxtiphoma eupyrena. Its description in RNAcentral is "partial large subunit ribosomal RNA". It matches the Rfam family "Eukaryotic large subunit ribosomal RNA", at positions 75 to 934 of the family's 3401-position model. The record is from RNAcentral. Lineage: Eukaryota; Fungi; Ascomycota; Dothideomycetes; Pleosporales; Didymellaceae.